Molecule: ribosomal RNA, 207 nt
Filed under: uncultured bacterium
Lineage: Bacteria
Description: partial 16S ribosomal RNA
Rfam family: Bacterial small subunit ribosomal RNA
Source: RNAcentral
CUCGUAGGCGGUUUGUCGCGUCUGCUGUGAAAACCUGGGGCUUAACCCCGGGCCUGCAGUGGGUACGGGCAGACUAGAGUGCGGUAGGGGAGACUGGAACUCCUGGUGUAGCGGUGAAAUGCGCAGAUAUCAGGAAGAACACCGGUGGCGAAGGCAGGUCUCUGGGCCGUCACUGACGCUGAGGAGCGAAAGCGUGGGGAGCGAACA